Molecule: ribosomal RNA, 256 nt
Filed under: uncultured Gardnerella sp.
Lineage: Bacteria; Bacillati; Actinomycetota; Actinomycetes; Bifidobacteriales; Bifidobacteriaceae
Description: partial 16S ribosomal RNA
Rfam family: Bacterial small subunit ribosomal RNA
Source: RNAcentral
CGAACGGGUGAGUAAUGCGUGACCAACCUGCCCCAUGCUCCAGAAUAGCUCUUGGAAACGGGUGGUAAUGCUGGAUGCUCCAACUUGACGCAUGUCUUGUUGGGAAAGUGUUUAGUGGCAUGGGAUGGGGUCGCGUCCUAUCAGCUUGUAGGCGGGUUAAUGGCCCACCUAGGCUUCGACGGGUAGCCGGCCUGAGAGGGCGGACGGCCACAUUGGGACUGAGAUACGGCCCAGACUCCUACGGGAGGCAGCAGGA